AGCUCCAAUAGCGUAUAUUAAAGUUGUUGCAGUUAAAAAGCUCGUAGUUGGAUUUUGGGUUGGGUCAAUCUGGCCGGUGCAAACCGUGCAGGAUAGGCACUUCCUUCCUCUCAAAGACUGCAGGUGCUCUUCAUUGAGUGUCUGUCAGGAUUUGGGACUUUUACUUUGAAAAAAUUAGAGUGUUCAAAGCAGGCCUUCGCUUGAAUACAUUAGCAUGGAAUAAUGAAAUAGGACGUCGGUUCUAUUUUGUUGGUUUCUAGGACCGAAGUAAUGAUUAAUAGGGACAGUUGGGGGCAUUAAUAUUUAAUUGUCAGAGGUGAAAUUCUUGGAUUUAUGAAAGAUUAACUUCUGCGAAAGCAUUUGCCAAGGAUGUUUUCA
Molecule: ribosomal RNA, 378 nt
Filed under: uncultured eukaryote
Lineage: Eukaryota
Description: SSU rRNA
Rfam family: Eukaryotic small subunit ribosomal RNA
Source: RNAcentral